AUUUUGAACUGCAUGGUUCGAAAUUGAAAGGCGGCUUCGGCUGUCACUUAUGGAUGGACCCGCGUCGCAUUAGCUAGUUGGUGAGGUAACGGCUCACCAAGGCAACGAUGCGUAGCCGACCUGAGAGGGUGAUCGGCCACACUGGGACUGAGACACGGCCCAGACUCCUACGGGAGGCAGCAGUAGGGAAUCUUCCGCAAUGGACGAAAGUCUGACGGAGCAACGCCGCGUGAGUGAUGAAGGCUUUCGGGUCGUAAAACUCUGUUGUUAGGGAAGAACAAGUGCUAGUUGAAUAAGCUGGCACCUUGACGGUACCUAACCAGAAAGCCACGGCUAACUACGUGCCAGCAGCCGCGGUAAUACGUAGGUGGCAAGCGUUAUCCGGAAUUAUUGGGCGUAAAGCGCGCG
This 408-nucleotide ribosomal RNA is filed under the name Bacillus cereus. RNAcentral describes it as "bacterial SSU rRNA". It matches the Rfam family "Bacterial small subunit ribosomal RNA", at positions 173 to 571 of the family's 1533-position model. The record is from RNAcentral. Lineage: Bacteria; Bacillati; Bacillota; Bacilli; Caryophanales; Bacillaceae.